AACGAACGCUGGCGGCAGGCCUAACACAUGCAAGUCGAACGCCCCGCAAGGGGAGUGGCAGACGGGUGAGUAACACGUGGGAACCUUCCCAACAGUACGGAAUAGCCCAGGGAAACUUGGAGUAAUACCGUAUAUUCCCGAGAGGGGAAAGAUUUAUCGCUGUUGGAUGGGCCCGCGUCGGAUUAGCUAGUUGGUGAGGUAACGGCUCACCAAGGCGACGAUCCGUAGCUGGUUUGAGAGAAUGACCAGCCACACUGGGACUGAGACACGGCCCAGACUCCUACGGGAGGCAGCAGUGGGGAAUCUUGGACAAUGGGCGCAAGCCUGAUCCAGCCAUGCCGCGUGAGUGACGAAGGCCUUAGGGUUGUAAAGCUCUUUUACCGGGGACGAUAAUGACGGUACCCGGAGAAUAAGUCCCGGCUAACUUCGUGCCAGCAGCCGCGGUAAGGUGCGCGAGU
This 458-nucleotide ribosomal RNA is filed under the name uncultured bacterium. RNAcentral's name for it is "bacterial SSU rRNA". It matches the Rfam family "Bacterial small subunit ribosomal RNA", at positions 29 to 534 of the family's 1533-position model. The record is from RNAcentral.